CCCUUUCGACUACUUUGUGUGUCUAUUCUACAGAUUUUGAACUCCCUUAUUGAAAAUCCUGGCUCCGCCACUGACUCCAUCAAAGUAACCAAAUCAUAUACAGUUAACACGUUAAACAAAAAAUUAAAAAGGUAUAACCAUAUGUAUUGAUAGUAACAUAGUAAAAUUAGAAGUAUAUAGUUUAGCUAGCCUUCCCCCAACCCUGAAUCAAACAAAGGAGGCAAACAACAACAAUGACAUACCAAUGCAAUCCCAGAAGUAGAAGUGGGUCUAGGGAGGAUGGUGUGUAUGCAUACUUAACCUUACCUUGGGAAGGUAGAGAGAUUGUUUCUGAUAGACUAUGGCUCAAGUAAAUCAUAUAAUAAAAAUGGAGGCAAGGAACCAAUCUUUGGUGGAAAUCUGCCAUCUUUCACUCAACAAAGUAACAAUAGUAUCUUCCAGACUGCGUGUCCAUAAUCCAUUCAUGAUCACAAUCAGUUUUUACAUGAGACAACUUUUAGGUUCAUCAAGAUUUCUCAUCUUGAAAGACGACUCAAAAUUGUACUUCUUGUAUGGUUUUUGUGUUAAAACCGAAUAAUCCAAAACAUACAAAAAUAUCAAAUAAAACCAUCAGAAAGUUCUUUUGAAGUUACUAAUCACCAUAAUAUAUGUUGCCAAGGCUUGUACUCUGCAAGACCAUCUGAUUGUACCUCAUAUUCAUGCCUCAAAGAGAAUGUAAGUGUGAAGAAACUUACAUGAACAACCAACCAUUGAGAGUUGUAAUGUAUUCAUCUACCUUAAUUAACACAAACAUUCAUGCAGCGAGUGAAG
This 810-nucleotide long non-coding RNA is filed under the name Solanum tuberosum (potato). Its description in RNAcentral is "long non-coding RNA (STUB_LNC005818)". The record is from RNAcentral. Lineage: Eukaryota; Viridiplantae; Streptophyta; Magnoliopsida; Solanales; Solanaceae.